RNAcentral lists this ribosomal RNA (466 nucleotides) under uncultured bacterium. Its description in RNAcentral is "partial 16S ribosomal RNA". It matches the Rfam family "Bacterial small subunit ribosomal RNA", at positions 28 to 507 of the family's 1533-position model. The record is from RNAcentral.
GAUGAACGCUGGCGGCGUGCUUAACACAUGCAAGUCGAACGAUGAAGCUCAGCUUGCUGGGUGGAUUAGUGGCGAGCGGGUGAGUAACACGUGAGUAACCUGCCCUUAACUCUGGGAUAAGCCUGGGAAACUAGGUCUAAUACCGGAUAGGAGCGCCUACCGCAUGGUGGGUGUUGGAAAAAUUUAUCGGUUUUGGAUGGACUCGCGGCCUAUCAGCUUGUUGGUGAGGUAAUGGCUCACCAAGGCGACGACGGGUAGCCGGCCUGAGAGGGUGACCGGCCACACUGGGACUGAGACACGGCCCAGACUCCUACGGGAGGCAGCAGUGGGGAAUAUUGCACAAUGGGCGAAAGCCUGAUGCAGCGACGCCGCGUGAGGGAUGACGGCCUUCGGGUUGUAAACCUCUUUCAGUAGGGAAGAAGCGAAAGUGACGGUACCUGCAGAAGAAGCACCGGCUAACUACGUG